GCGGAGGGCCGGACGGCCGCGGCCGCGGUCAGGUCCGCAAGGAUACCGGCCGGGGUCGAGGAAAGUCCGGACUCCAUGAGGCAAGGGUGCCGGGUAACGCCCGGCGGGGGCAACCCCAGGGACAGCGCCACAGAGAAGAGACAGCCCCCGUUCCGGCGGGGGUGAUGGUGAAACGGUGGGGUAAGAGCCCACCGCGGGACUGGCAACAGGACCGGCACGGCAAGCCCCACCCGGAGCAAUGCCGAAUAGGGGUUCCGCGCCGCCGGGCGACCGGCGGCAGGGAGGUCUCAGCCCGAGGAACCCGGGUUGGCAGCUUGAUCCCGCCGGUAACGGCGGGGCCAGAGGAAUGGCCGUCGAAGGGGGCGACCCCGGAACAGAAUCCGGCUUACAGGCCCUCCGCGCAU
This 404-nucleotide RNase P RNA is filed under the name Ruixingdingia sedimenti. RNAcentral's name for it is "RNase P RNA component class A". It matches the Rfam family "Bacterial RNase P class A". From Rfam's summary of the family: Ribonuclease P (RNase P) is a ubiquitous endoribonuclease, found in archaea, bacteria and eukarya as well as chloroplasts and mitochondria. Its best characterised activity is the generation of mature 5'-ends of tRNAs by cleaving the 5'-leader elements of precursor-tRNAs. Lineage: Bacteria; Pseudomonadati; Pseudomonadota; Alphaproteobacteria; Rhodobacterales; Paracoccaceae. The record is from RNAcentral.